This 253-nucleotide ribosomal RNA is filed under the name uncultured bacterium. RNAcentral's name for it is "partial 16S ribosomal RNA". It matches the Rfam family "Bacterial small subunit ribosomal RNA", at positions 524 to 776 of the family's 1533-position model. The record is from RNAcentral.
UACAGAGGGUGCAAGCGUUGUCCGGAAUUAUUGGGCGUAAAGGGCUCGUAGGCGGCCAACUAAGUCAGACGUGAAAUCCCUCGGCUUAACCGGGGAACUGCGUCUGAUACUGGAUGGCUCGAGUUUGGGAGAGGGAUGCGGAAUUCCAGGUGUAGCGGUGAAAUGCGUAGAUAUCGGGAGGAAUACCAGUGGCGAAGGCGGCUUCCUGGCCUGUUCUUGACGCUGAGGCGCGAAAGCUAGGGUAGCAAACGGG